This 253-nucleotide ribosomal RNA is filed under the name uncultured bacterium. RNAcentral's name for it is "partial 16S ribosomal RNA". It matches the Rfam family "Bacterial small subunit ribosomal RNA", at positions 524 to 776 of the family's 1533-position model. The record is from RNAcentral.
UACGUAGGGUGCGAGCGUUAAUCGGAAUUACUGGGCGUAAAGUGUGCGCAGGCGGCUUCGCAAGUCGAGUGUGAAAUCCCCGAGCUUAACUUGGGAAUUGCGCUCGAAACUACGGAGCUGGAGUGUGGCAGAGGAAGGUGGAAUUCCACGUGUAGCGGUGAAAUGCGUAGAGAUGUGGAGGAACACCGAUGGCGAAGGCAGCCUUCUGGGCCAACACUGACGCUGAGGAGCGAAAGCAUGGGGAGCGAACAGG